GAUUACCCCUUGUACCUUUGCAUAAUGAAUUAACUAGUAUAAGACUUAACAAAAUGAAUUUUAGCUAAGCAGCCCGAAACCAGACGAGCUACUCACAAACAGUUUACCAAGAACUAACUCAUCUAUGUGGCAAAAUAGUGAGAAGAUUUGUAAGUAGAGGUGACAUGCCUAACGAGCCUGGUGAUAGCUGGUUGUCCAGAAAAUGAAUCUAAGUUCAGCUUUAAAGAUACCAAAAAUUCAAAUAAACCCCACUGUAGCUUUAAAGAGUUAGUCUAAAAAGGUACAGCCUUUUAGAAACGGAUACAACCUUGACUAGAGAGUAAAAUUUAACACUACCAUAGUAGGCCUAAAAGCAGCCAUCAAUUUAAGAAAAAGGCGUUUAAAGGCUCAACAAACAAAAAUUAAAUAGAUUCCAACAACAAAUGGAUUAAACUUCCUAGCCCCCAAAUACUGGACUAAUCUAUUAUAGAAUAGAAGCAUAAUGUUAUAUGAGUAACAAGAAAAAUUU
This 508-nucleotide ribosomal RNA is filed under the name Bos taurus (domestic cattle). Its description in RNAcentral is "similar to 16S ribosomal RNA". The stretch from base 73 to 191 matches the Rfam family "Bacterial large subunit ribosomal RNA", at positions 714 to 852 of the family's 2925-position model. Lineage: Eukaryota; Metazoa; Chordata; Mammalia; Artiodactyla; Bovidae. The record is from RNAcentral.